This 72-nucleotide transfer RNA is filed under the name Camelus bactrianus (Bactrian camel). It matches the Rfam family "tRNA". From Rfam's summary of the family: Transfer RNA (tRNA) molecules are approximately 80 nucleotides in length. Lineage: Eukaryota; Metazoa; Chordata; Mammalia; Artiodactyla; Camelidae. The record is from Rfam by way of RNAcentral. RNAcentral also lists the same sequence under 2 other names.
GGGGGUAUAGUUCAGGCGCAGAGCGCAUGCUUAGCAUGCACAAGGUCCUGGGUUCAAUCCCCAGUCCCUCCA